Molecule: RNase P RNA, 386 nt
Filed under: Candidatus Aminicenantota bacterium
Lineage: Bacteria; Candidatus Aminicenantota
Description: Candidatus Aminicenantes bacterium RNase P RNA component class A
Rfam family: Bacterial RNase P class A
About the family: Ribonuclease P (RNase P) is a ubiquitous endoribonuclease, found in archaea, bacteria and eukarya as well as chloroplasts and mitochondria. Its best characterised activity is the generation of mature 5'-ends of tRNAs by cleaving the 5'-leader elements of precursor-tRNAs.
Source: RNAcentral
GGAGUAGGCGAGGCGGUUGCCCCAUCUUCUCUUGAGAAGAAAGGGGAGGAAAGUCCGAACUCCAAAGGGCAGGAUGGUCGCUAACGGCGACUCCGGGCAACCGGAGGAAAGUGCCACAGAAAACAUACCGCCCUGUGAGAUAAUGGCUUUUGCCAUCUCAUGAGGUAAGGGUGAAAAGGUGAGGUAAGAGCUCACCGUUCUGGUGGUGACAUCAGAAGCAUGGUAAACCCCAUCCGGAGCAAGACCAAAUUGGCCCUUUAAAAGGUGGCCCGUCUUAUAGGGUGGGUAGGUCGCUUUUCCCCAUGAGCAAUCAUGGGGUUAGAUAAAUAACCGCCCCUGCUGGAACUUCAGUGGGCACAGAAUUCGGCUUACGUCCUGCUCCCGCC